CACGUAGGGCGCAAGCGUUGUCCGGAAUUAUUGGGCGUAAAGAGCUCGUAGGCGGUCUGUUGCGUCCGCUGUGAAAACUCGGGGCUUAACCCCGAGCCUGCAGUGGGUACGGGCAGACUAGAGUGUGGUAGGGGAGACUGGAAUUCCUGGUGUAGCGGUGAAAUGCGCAGAUAUCAGGAGGAACACCGAUGGCGAAGGCAGGUCUCUGGGCCACUACUGACGCUGAGAAGCGAAAGCAUGGGGAGCGAACAGG
RNAcentral lists this ribosomal RNA (253 nucleotides) under uncultured bacterium. RNAcentral describes it as "partial 16S ribosomal RNA". It matches the Rfam family "Bacterial small subunit ribosomal RNA", at positions 524 to 776 of the family's 1533-position model. The record is from RNAcentral.